Molecule: long non-coding RNA, 881 nt
Filed under: Nicotiana tabacum (common tobacco)
Lineage: Eukaryota; Viridiplantae; Streptophyta; Magnoliopsida; Solanales; Solanaceae
Description: long non-coding RNA (NTAB_LNC013283)
Source: RNAcentral
UACAGAAAAUAACAUGAAAUGAAAAUUAAGAAACUAAAAACAAAGAGAAAACAAAACAAAAAAUAAUAUGAGGCAAGUCUGUCCAUUAAAUUCAUUUCCGCUAUCUAUUUUACGUUUCAAUUUUUUUUUCUUCCUUCUACUGUUCUUUUCCUUUCUUUUCCUAUUCCUUAAUAUCCCUCUCAAUUCCCCAUCCCUUAGUUCAGGGAUAUACUUCUAUAGAAUUUUUUUUGUCCUGUUUGAUGCUUCAAGGCGACAUUAUGUAGCAGCACAUACUGCAGGUCCAUGCAACGAUCAUCCUCCUGAUCAUCCAAGAACAUGUGCCAUCAGAUUCUCAAAUCAAAAUAUUUUCAGAUUAUGAAGAUCAUGUCUCCCUAUAAAAAUGGUUUUAAAAAUUGUACUCCAAUGUAUUCAUAUAUAAGCCAAGAAUUACAGGAAUCUCACCCGCAUAUCAAUUAAGGAGCAAAAUUAAACCUCUAGCCACACAAUGAUGAUAUCAUAUUAUAGCGAGACAGAAUACAAACAAAACCAUAAGUUUCUUCCCGCGUACCCAUAUAUGUGUCAUAUGGUCCCAAAUAUAUCGCAUUGGUCUCAAGUAAGUUCAACCCUGUAAUAAAAGAAACUAGUGUCCUCAUGGAUGGAUUAGAAAAAAUCAUCGUCAUAUAUAAUUUUACCUUCGAAAUAUGGGAGGUAUAAAAUCCCUCCCGAUCUUAUAAACUCUUUCAACCUUUUUUGUUUUGCUCGAUCCAAGAUGAAAUAGUCACUUUUUGUAUUUUUAUUUGAGCAACUUUAUGGUUCUGAAUAACGUGGAGGGAAUAUAUGAAUGGUAGCAUAUCUCCAUUGUUGGUAUAUUUAUAAGUCUGGUGCCGGAGACUUUAGGGAUU